This 868-nucleotide ribosomal RNA is filed under the name Pristionchus maupasi. RNAcentral's name for it is "SSU rRNA". It matches the Rfam family "Eukaryotic small subunit ribosomal RNA", at positions 57 to 953 of the family's 1831-position model. Lineage: Eukaryota; Metazoa; Nematoda; Chromadorea; Rhabditida; Neodiplogasteridae. The record is from RNAcentral.
UUCUAAGAACAUAUGUGUAAACAUGAAUCUGCGAACGGCUCAUUAUUAACACCCGUAAUCUACCCAGUUUUCAUAUCCAAAACGGAUAUCUGCGUUAAUUUUGGAGCUAAUACGUGCACCAACGUACCGCUAGCAAUAGUGGUAUGCACUUGUUAGUAUAAGGCCGACUGGGGCAACCCGAUUGGUGACUCUGAACAAUUUUUGCGGAUCGCAUGGUCUUGUACCGGCGACGUACUGGUCGAGCGGGUGCCCUAUCAACUAUUGAUGGAAGUCUAUGUGUCUUCCAUGGUUGUAACGGGUAACGGAGAAUCAGGGUUCGACUCCGGAGAGCUAGCCUUAGAAACGGCUAUCACAUCCAAGGAAGGCAGCAGGCGCGUAAAUUACCCACUCUCAAUUCGAGGAGGUAGUGACUAUCAAUAACGAGACAGAUCUCUUUGAGGUCUGUCAUUGAAAUGAGCACAACUUAAAGACUUUAACGAAGUCUAUGGGAGGGCAAGUCUGGUGCCAGCAGCCGCGGUAAUUCCAGCUCCCAACGUGUAUAUCGUCAUUGCUGCGGUUAAAAAGCUCGUAGUUGGAUCUUAGCUUAUGACAGUAGUUCACCAUGUGUGAUACUGCGUGUCUGAGCUGUUUCGCCGGUUUUCCUUGGUUUCGGCCUUGGUGACUGGUGUUGUAACUUUGAUUAAAUCAAUGUGAUUAAAACAGGCGUUUGCUUGUAUGCUUUAUCAUGGAAUAAUAGAAUAUGACUUCGGUCCAUUCUGUUGGUCUUGGGAUCGAAGUAAUGAUUAAAAGGAACAACUCGGGGGCAUCCGUAUCGCUGCGUGAGAGGUGAAAUUCUUGGACCGCAGCGAGACGACCUAUUGCGAAACAU